CUGAGUUCUCAAUUUUGGUGGGGCCAUUCGGAAACACAGCCAUAAAGAAUAAUAUUCCGAGUAUAAGACUUGUCUUAUAAUUAUGUUUACUCAUGGAGGUACAUAUAUGAUACAUAAAUUGCAUAUUUGGUUACAGGUGUACCAUAAACAAUUGACCUUCAAAAUUUGAAUUUGUCUUCUUUUACACCUCCCCAAGUCGAAACCGUCGUACAAAGUCUGUAUAAGUAGAUUUUCCAUUUGUUGCAUUUCUCUUAUGCUACUCGCUAAGCUAAAACUUUCUAUAACUCAAAGAUUUUUUUUAACUAUAUUAAAACCUCAAAAUUUGAAAUGAACGUAAAAUUUUAUAGUACACUGUACGCUCUAAAGUUAACUGAGUAAGGAGGAAAAUUGAAACAUUCUGAAAACAAAAGAAAGAUUACUUGUAUAUUCUACGAGCAGAACGAAGAAGAAGAAAAAAGAAGAAGAACGGACAUUGCGAAGAAAAAUCGUUGGGAAUAUAUUUUCAAAGUAGAAAAGAAAGAAAUGUAAAACUGGAACUGGGGGAAUAAAAACAAAUAGAACUUCAAAAAGAAAAGUACAAUGAAGGAUGAAACGUUACAAUAUAAUUUACAAUCUAAAACAGAGAGAAAGUGGUAGAAAAGGAAAUUGUUUACGGUAGGUUUUGAGGGUAGAUUAAACUAGGAAAGAGUGAAGAAAAGUUCGUAUGUACUCUUCUGAUAAAGCGAAACAAAGUGUGUUUUGUGUUCUUUGAUAGAUAAAGAGAAAAAUGAAACCGUUCAUUGCAUAACCUAUGAUGAAUGAUUGAAAAAUACAGAAACACUACAGAAUCAUUCUCAAACAUAUGAGAAUAUCAUAUUUCUAAGUAACCUGGCCCGUUCCAAAAAGAUCCUCGUAACGUCAAUGACAAUAAAACCUAAAGUGAUCACAGCAACGGUCAACACAUUGCUAAAGAGGUACAUAGAUAACAAAGCAGCCGCAAGGAAAGAAUUCGAAUAAAAAGAAACCAAAAGAGAAAAAAAGGUUAUCCGCUGCAACGGUUGACGUCAGCGAAGAGAGAUGCAGGGGGAAACAAAACGAGCAGGUUAUCCUCUGCAUAUAUCAAGAGGGAGGAAAAGAGACAGCGAAGAAGAAAACAUAAAAGAGAGAAAGGAGGAGGGAAAAGUUACUAACUAUAUGGUUUGAAGUAAGAAAAGAAAGAGAAAGCAAGAAAAGAAGAAGCGUUCGAAAGAGAAAAUGGAGGGAGAAGAGAAGACGCGAAGGCAAGUCAAAUGUUAGCGAGUGUACGGCGAUGGAACGUCUUUAAGACCAAGGAGGAACUUAUAUAAGAAAGCAAGAUGGCAACCGGUUGUCCCUGAGCCACGACCGGCAUUUAUUUGCACAUUUUUAUCUAUUUUUGAGCCGACCAAAAAACUUCGCGCAACCAGUUCGCCCGAUGGCGCACAUGGGUCGUGCCUCGCACCGUCCAGAUUUUUCUUUCCCAUGGACGAAUGCGUUUUUAUUGUCACCAAAGGUGUCACACCAUCGAACAUGUAACAUUCUUCGUUACAUUGUCUCUUUUUGUAUAAUCUUCCAUGAAGAACGUUAAUCUGGUAUCUCCUAUGUUCUUCUCGUAGUUUGAAAUUACUAUUUUAAUGUUUUACAACAUAACUUUUGGAUGAAAAUAAAAAAUUUUAUGGUUUUGGUUUUUAUAG
This is a long non-coding RNA of Osmia lignaria (orchard mason bee), 1691 nucleotides long. RefSeq lists it as uncharacterized. The record is from RefSeq and is a predicted model, not a curated record. Lineage: Eukaryota; Metazoa; Arthropoda; Insecta; Hymenoptera; Megachilidae.